Molecule: ribosomal RNA, 1223 nt
Filed under: Pristimantis labiosus
Lineage: Eukaryota; Metazoa; Chordata; Amphibia; Anura; Strabomantidae
Description: partial large subunit ribosomal RNA
Rfam family: Bacterial large subunit ribosomal RNA
Source: RNAcentral
GAUAGCUGUUUCUCAAGAAAAGAAUUUUAGUUCAACCUAAAGUAAAUAAUAUACAUUAAAAUUAUCUUAUACUUUAGAGUAAUUCAAAUAAGGUACAGCCUAUUUGAUAAGGGAUACAACCCCUACUAAUGGGUACAAUACUUAAAUCAUACCUUAAAGUAGGCCUAAGAGCAGCCAUCUUUUAAAAAGCGUCAAAGCUUAAUAAUAUGAUCACCAAUUUCUAAAUUUAAAUUCACCCCUUUUUUACUACUGAGAACUUCUAUAAUAUUAUAGAAAUUUUUAUGCUAAAACUAGUAACAAGAGGUAAUCCCUCUCUAUAAUGUAAACAUAAACCAGAAUGAACAAAUCACUGGUAAUUAACAAACUUAAUUAAAAGUAAUAACUCAUCUAGAAAACAUUACUUCACUUAUUGUUAACCUAACACAAGAACAUCCAAAGAAAGAUUAAAAGAAAAAGAAGGAACUCGGCAAAUAUUAACCCCGCCUGUUUACCAAAAACAUCACCUCUUGCUUUUAUAAGAGGCCAUGCCUGCCCAGUGACUCAUGUUUAACGGCCGCGGUAUCCUAACCGUGCAAAGGUAGCGUAAUCACUUGUCUUUUAAAUAAAGACUUGUAUGAAAGGCUUCACGAGAGUUGUACUGUCUCCUUUUUCUAAUCAGUAAACCUAAUCCCCCCGUGAAGAAGCGGGGAUAACUAUAUAAGACGAGAAGACCCUAUGGAGCUUAAAACAUAAUAACACCUGUUAACCCUUUUCUACUAUGGUAUUUACCCUUAUAUCAUGAUGAUUAUAUGUUUUCGGUUGGGGUGACCGCGGAGAACAAUCUAUCCUCCACGAUGAAAGAGUAUAUACCUUUAAACAAUAAGCCACAACUUUAAGUAUCAAAAAUUUGACAUAAAUGAUCCAAUACUUUGAUCAACGAACCAAGUUACCCUAGGGAUAACAGCGCAAUCCACUUUAAGAGUCCUUAUUAACAAGUGGGCUUACGACCUCGAUGUUGGAUCAGGGUAUCCUAGUGGUGCAGCCGCUACUAAAGGUUCGUUUGUUCAACGAUUAAAACCCUACGUGAUCUGAGUUCAGACCGGAGUAAUCCAGGUCAGUUUCUAUCUAUAACGGAGCUUUUUUCAGUACGAAAGGAUCUAAACAGCAUGGCCUAUACUCUUACAUGCCAUAAUUAAAUACUUUUGAUUAAACUAAAAAAAUUAUUAAUCCAUAAUUAAUUUACU